ACUUGCUGAGGCAUGAGAAGUAUGAGCAGACUGCGAGGCUGUAAGAAACUCAGUUGUCCCGGGAUGCUCCAACUCUGAGGCUGAUCCGGGACAAUGGACUGAAUGCCAUCAUGAGCCUCAAUGGACUUACCUGUAAGAAGGGUCACGUGAGAUUCCAACGCUAAUGAGCGUGAAAGGUUUUUGCAAACAGGAACUGCAGCACAAAGGAGAGGCAUGAAUCCUUGAGCGAUUAAGACAGUGGGAGUGACGGGGCAGAGUCACCACGGAGACACACCACUGUGAAAUGAAUGGCGGGACUGCACUGAACGGCAGAAUGUUUGAGGGCUUGGUCAUACAGCUGGAGGGAAGAGUGAGACCAGGAAGAGCUGAAACGCGGCCUCUCCAUCCCUGUUACAGCAGCACCUUUCUCACUGGGCUGCAGGCACCCUGACCGCAAAGGUGUUCUCACAACCCCGCAGGGUCUUGCUCCUCCCUGUGCCGCCAAGCUUGCCACUCCAUCUGCCUGGCACGCUCAUCCCCGCCAUCCCCAUCACUGGCUUCCCAUUGUCCCCUGGGUCUUGUCCUUGAGGAAGCCUCACAAGUCAUCCUGUCUAAGUAGCACUGUUGGUCUUCUCCAUAGAACCUUCUCUUCCUUUCCUGGCAUCUAUAUCAUCCUGGAACCAUUUUAUCUGCGUGUUCACCUGUCCAACCACACUGCGAUGGUUUUAAAAUAUGUUCUUAAUUCUUAGACACUCCUUCCUUCCAAAGGCAGAGUGUCAUUCCUCUCCUUUUGAGUGUGGGCUGGACUUAGUGAUCCCGUUCUGCAGAUGAGAACAUGGCAGAAGAGGUGCUGUUAGGACUUCUGGGCUGGGUCACGAAAGGACAGCUGCUGGCUGGCCUGCUGUCUUUUGGACUGCUCUCCCCAGGGGCAGCCAGAUGCUACAUCGUGAUGACACUCAAGCAGUCCUACCCAGAGGCCCAUGUCAGAAGGAACGAAUGCCUCUCACCCACAGGCAGCACCAACUCGCCAGCCACGGCUACGAGCUGCUUUAGAAGUUGACUCAGCCCAGUCGAGCCUUCAGAUAACUGCAGACCCAGCCAACAUCAGAUGGAACCUACAAGAGAAUAAGUCCUGGUCCCGACCUGCCCAGCCAAGCUGGUCCUGAAUUCCUGACCCACAGAAGCUGCAAGAAUAAUGUCUCCUGCUACUUUAAGCCACUAUGUUUUGGCAUAUUAGGUAGCAAUGGAGGAUUAAUAUAAAUGUUGAAAUGCUAUGAUUCCUCAUUUCAUGGACAAGGAAACUGAGCCACAGAGAAUUUACACGGCUCACCUAAGGCCACACAGAGUCAGAAUUUGGACAGAGGCAGUCUGAUUCCAGAGUCCACACCCCUGAGCCCUGUACUACAACCUCCCUCCAAACAAGGCACCAUCUCAAACAGUGUCAUUUUUCCUGUGAAGCCCCGAUUAGGUGGUGGGCAGGCACAGGAUCUUUCCCUCCCCAGACAGAUGUAAGUCCAACAGCGUGAGGCUUCUGACAGCUUGGUGCUCCACACAGGGCAGGGGUGCAGAGUCCUGCCUGACCACCAGCCAUCCAGCUGUCACGAGCCAGUACCCUUGCUCCUGGGUCUGACUGGAACUUCAGGCGAGUGUCUCAUGCUUAAGAACCUGCCUUUUUCCUUUUAUCCCUAUGUUUUGGGAUGCAAGAAAAUGCCUCUCAGAUGUGGUGUGGUCUCCUGGCACCUCACCUAGGAUGGGAGGCCUGGGAUAGAGAAAGGCUCAGGUUCCUCCUGUCUCACCUGGGCUGGGAAUGAAGGACUGUUC
This 1800-nucleotide long non-coding RNA is filed under the name Homo sapiens (human). Its description in RNAcentral is "HSALNT0404086". The record is from RNAcentral. Lineage: Eukaryota; Metazoa; Chordata; Mammalia; Primates; Hominidae.